This 644-nucleotide ribosomal RNA is filed under the name uncultured Porphyromonadaceae bacterium. Its description in RNAcentral is "bacterial SSU rRNA". It matches the Rfam family "Bacterial small subunit ribosomal RNA", at positions 76 to 715 of the family's 1533-position model. Lineage: Bacteria; Pseudomonadati; Bacteroidota; Bacteroidia; Bacteroidales; Porphyromonadaceae. The record is from RNAcentral.
GUAGCAAUACAACUGGUGGCGACCGGCGCACGGGUGAGUAACGCGUAUGCAACCCAUUUAUGAGAGGGGAAUAACCCGGCGAAAGUCGGACUAAUCUCGCAUAAAACAGGGGCACCGCAUGGUGCUAUUUGUUAAAGAAAUUCGCUGAUAGAUGGGCAUGCGUUCCAUUAGGUAGUUGGUGAGGUAACGGCUCACCAAGCCGACGAUGGAUAGGGGAACUGAGAGGUUGGUCCCCCAUACUGGUACUGAGACACGGACCAGACUCCUACGGGAGGCAGCAGUGAGGAAUAUUGGUCAAUGGGCGAGAGCCUGAACCAGCCAAGUCGCGUGAAGGAAGAAGGAUCUAUGGUUCGUAAACUUCUUUUGCAGGGGAAUAAAGUGCAGGACGUGUCCUGUUUUGUAUGUACCCUGAGAAUAAGGAUCGGCUAACUCCGUGCCAGCAGCCGCGGUAAUACGGAGGAUCCGCGCGUUAUCCGGAUUUAUUGGGUUUAAAGGGUGCGUAGGUGGUUUUAUAAGUCAGCGGUGAAAGUUUGCAGCUUAACUGUAAAAAUGCCGUUGAAACUGUAAGACUUGAGUGUAAAUGAGGUAGGCGGAAUGCGUGGUGUAGCGGUGAAAUGCAUAGAUAUCACGAAGAACUCCGAUUG